GGUUAAGUGAAUAAGGGCGCACGGUGGAUGCCUUGGCACUAGGAGCCGAUGAAGGACGGGACUAACACCGAUAUGCUUUGGGGAGCUGUAAGUAAGCUAUGAUCCAGAGAUUUCCGAAUGGGGGAACCCAAUAUCUUUUAUAGGAUAUUACUUUUCAGUGAAUACAUAGCUGAUUAGAGGUAGACGCAGAGAACUGAAACAUCUUAGUAUCUGCAGGAAGAGAAAGAAAAUUCGAUUCCCUGAGUAGCGGCGAGCGAAACGGGAAGAGCCCAAACCAACAAGCUUGCUUGUUGGGGUUGUAGGACUCCAAUAUGGUAGUCUGUUAGUAUAGUUGAAGGAUUUGGAAAAUUCCGCUAAAGAGGGUGAAAGCCCCGUAGACGAAAUGCUAACAACACCUAGGAGGAUCCUGAGUACGGCGGAACACGAGAAAUUCCGUCGGAAUCCGCGGGGACCAUCCCGCAAGGCUAAAUACUCCCUAGUGACCGAUAGUGAACCAGUACCGUGAGGGAAAGGUGAAAAGCACCCCGGAAGGGGAGUGAAAUAGAUCCUGAAACCGUGUGCCUACAACAAGUCAAAGCUCGUUAAUGAGUGAUGGCGUGCCUUUUGUAGAAUGAACCGGCGAGUUACGAUUGCAUGCGAGGUUAAGUCGAAGAGACGGAGCCGCAGCGAAAGCGAGUCUGAAUAGGGCGAAUGAGUAUGUAGUCGUAGACCCGAAACCAUGUGAUCUACCCAUGUCCAGGUUGAAGGUGCGGUAAAACGCACUGGAGGACCGAACCCACGUACGUUGAAAAGUGCGGGGAUGAGGUGUGGGUAGCGGAGAAAUUCCAAACGAACUUGGAGAUAGCUGGUUCUCUCCGAAAUAGCUUUAGGGCUAGCCUCGGAAUUGAGAAUGAUGGAGGUAGAGCACUGUUUGGACUAGGGGCCCAUCUCGGGUUACCGAAUUCAGAUAAACUCCGAAUGCCAUUCAUUUAUAUCCGGGAGUCAGACUGCGAGUGAUAAGAUCCGUAGUCGAAAGGGAAACAGCCCAGACCACCAGCUAAGGUCCCAAAAUAUAUGUUAAGUGGAAAAGGAUGUGGGGUUGCACAGACAACUAGGAUGUUGGCUUAGAAGCAGCCACCAUUUAAAG
This 1126-nucleotide ribosomal RNA is filed under the name Enterococcus faecalis. RNAcentral describes it as "partial 23S ribosomal RNA". It matches the Rfam family "Bacterial large subunit ribosomal RNA", at positions 1 to 1128 of the family's 2925-position model. Lineage: Bacteria; Bacillati; Bacillota; Bacilli; Lactobacillales; Enterococcaceae. The record is from RNAcentral.